Molecule: ribosomal RNA, 206 nt
Filed under: uncultured bacterium
Lineage: Bacteria
Description: partial 16S ribosomal RNA
Rfam family: Bacterial small subunit ribosomal RNA
Source: RNAcentral
GAUUGAAGGCUGAAAUUACGCCUACAUGAAGCCGGAAUUGCUAGUAAUGGCAGGUCAGCAUACUGCCGUGAAUACGUUCCCGGGCCUUGUACACACCGCCCGUCACACCAUGAGAGUUGGGGAUACCCGAAGCCUGUGAGCCAACUGUAAAGAGGCAGCAGUAGAAGGUAGAAUCAAUGAUUGGGGUGAAGUCGUAACAAGGUAUC